UCUCCUUAUUUCCCACAUUUUCCCUUUCUUGAUGUUUCUCCUUCCUCUGCUGCCUUCUUCCCAGCCUUUCUGGAGUGUAUCUGUCUCCUUUGCUGGGGGUUCCAGGCCACUCUAACCCACACACCCUCGGCUCCUCACCCACAGUCUCAGUAUCUUUGGGUCAUUUUGAGAAGCUUGCUGUUUCAGGAGGGAACCGGAGCUAGGGUGUGUGACACAGGUCUGGAAGGUGGAUGGGGCGGAAGGCUAGGGUUUGGAAAAAGAUAUCUUUGGUGCGUGUGCGCUCCUAUAUUUGUUUAUCAUCAGUCUUCAUCUUUGUAUCAUUUUCAUCUUAAUAAAAAAGACAUAACUGAUGGAUCAUCACCAUUUCGUCUCGGGGUGCCCCUACUGUCUUUUGGUCCCUUGGUGUACACACUUCCCAAUUUCUCCUCUGACUCCUCUCUCAGUUUCUCAGUCUCCAUCUCCUCAAAAAUCUUGGCGCCCCACCCAGGCUUUUCCUUGGCCAACUAUGUCCAUCUUUCUCGGAGACCUUUCCAUCUCUCUGUCUCUCGGACGUACUCCCUGAUGUUUUUAGUGAUCUCUGACCCUCUCCAUCUCUGUACUCUUUUGCUUCAUUUAUGUCCCUCUCCCUCCUCCUUUAACCUCCCCCCCCCCCCCCCCCCCCCCCCCNNNNNCCCCCCCCCCCCCCAGUCUCCCCGUCUGGCUCCCUCCCUGUCAGUCUCUUUCCUCUCCCUCCCACCCUCCUUUCCUCAGUGCCCCCCCCUUCUCCACCUCCCAGCCCCGCCUGCUGUCUCAGGACACCCUGCUGGGCUCUUACCCUGUUGCCCUGGUAACCGCCCCCCACUCCGGUCACCUCCACUCCCCUCCCCCCCUCCAAUCACCGCCACCAACAACCUCCAUCCACCUUCCUCCUAUUUUUCCUGAGAGCCAAUAGAAACCCUGUUGCCAGGUGGAAUGCUCAUUUGAAUCAGCCAAUCCAGGAGCCUAACUGCUUGCCCUGCCUUAUAUGGGGAUUUGAGGAGGGCCACUCCCCCCACUCCAGCCCCACAGGGGACCAGCCCCUCUACUGUCCUUUCUCCCCGCCCUGGAGAGAGCCUGGGACCCUCCGUCUCACCCUUCUAUAAGGGUCUGGCCUCCCAUUUCUCUAACUGGGACCACCGGGGUUAGUGUGGGAUGUGGGCUGGACUGUGGGCAGGGCCUCAGGGCCGGGGGUGGGAAUGAGGUGUGAUUAGGGAAGGGGAGGCGGAGGGAGCCGGGAAUUUUGCCCAGGGAGGGGUGUCUGGGAGCGGAGGCAGCUGCAGUGGAAAAUUCCAGGGAGAUGGAGCGGCAGAGAAUGGGAAUCCUGCCCCAAGGCCCAAGGGAGAGCCUUGAGAAUCUAAGAGUGUGGACACUAGGGUCCAGAGGGACCAAAGGAAAAAGAUGUAGGAAGCUGGAGGCCUGGAUCUCAUUCCCUUCCUGCACGGGAGAAGCACCCCUUAGCCUCCACUGUCUGGUUGGACCACAGACCAGUCUCCUGAAGUCUUGGCUUCAAGAGAAGAAAGCCAGGCAGGACACUUAGGAUGAAUUUGAAAGAUUUCUGAGGCCUUGUGGAGGCUUGCCUGUUCCUAGAGCUCUAUUACUCCACGAUUCAACUGAGAAUUUUCCACUGGUCACAUGGGGAAACCUGUGCUUCUUACACAUUUUCUGGAGGUGGGAAAAGGGAGGCCAAGUGAGAAGAGGGGAGGACUGAGCCCCCUGGAAACUAUUACUUCUGACAUCCUAGCAGUUCUACUUCCAUCUCAUUCUUAACUGAAUUCUUCCCCCCUCCAGUUUCCUGGGGUUUUUUUAGUUUGCCUGUUUAUCUGAUAGGUUAAGUGAGUGUCUAGUUAGUGUCUUUCAAGGAUGGGAGGACGGAAACCUCAAAGCUGGACCUCCCCGCUCCUCACUUCAUCCCGUUCUACUCCCAAUGGCCUCGUUUGCUAGUCUGAUUUUUCCUUUGCUUUUCAAAAAUUUUUUAAUUGUUUAAUCUUUUCAAAACUCAAGUCAGUCAGGGGAGCGGUGAGAGAAGAUGGACUCCUAGAGAGAGAGAGAGACCUCACUCAGCCUAACUUGGAUUCAAGUUUGUUUUAAGUAUGUUCCCUGAAGGACUAUUAUUGAAGAAAUCAUCUUCGUUACAACACGAAGGCGAGAUCGUCAGGAACACACCUCGUCAAGUUGGGCCCUCAUCCUCUUCUACUCACAUCUAUGUCGAGUUAAACUACAAUGAUGCUCAGCUUUCCGUGAGCCCCCUGCGCUUCAACAAACGUUUAUGGAACGCCCCGUAGGUCUUGGGCCCUGUGCUGUGUGGUAGAGCCACAAAGCUGAGUGGAAAAGACGUGGGCCCGGCACUCUUUUCUGCUGGACAGCACCCUGUCCCAUCUGGGGGCAGUGGGGGAUGGAGGGUCCUUUCCUGGAGGGCCUCCAUGACUUUUCUCCUGAUUGCAAAUCCUCAUCCCCUGUUCCCACCUCCAAACUGCUUCCCUCACUCCUCCACUCGUAUCAGUGUCUCCUUCUCCUGGGCACGAUACCUAGCACACAGCUAGGCACCCAAGAGGAAGAGCUCAAUGAAGUAUUGACUUCCUAGCCCUGACCCCCUAUCUUGGCUUGACUUCCUAGCCCUCAGAGCCCCCUCAACCUUCUUUCCUUGAGCAGGCUGGAGAAACACAGGGCAGGCUGCCAGGAGACCAGCCCACCUCUCUCUGACUUGGCAUCUUCUCAAUAACUGCAAGUGUCCUGGUGGUCACUGUCUUAUAUAGGAUCAAUAUCACAACCAAAAUUUCUGUGGCUUUCCUACUUCCUCGUGAACUUUCUCCCCAGCAAAAGUAAUUGGUUUUACCAUCACACCUCUCUUCCAGAUUCUUCGAUUGGCCUUGCUUAUUCUCUGUGCUGUCCUUCGUGACUUCCUUCACUUUUACACUCAAAGUUUGCUGUUGAACCUCCACUGCCCUCCUUUCUUUUCUUUUUAGUUUUAUUUUUUUAGAGCCAUACCUGCGGCACAUGGAAGUUCCUGGACAGGGAUCAAAUCAAGCAGCUGUUGGCCUACACAGUAGUUUAUCUUUAACCCACUGAGUGGGGCCAGGGAUCGAACCCACGUCCUCAUGGAUACUAGUUGGGUUUGUUACCACUGAGCCACAAUGGGAACUCCUGCCCUCCUUUCAGUUUCUCCCCCAUGCGCAUCUUUUUUUCCUCCCGGUUUAAGAAAAAAUUUUUUAUUGGAGUUGAUUUACAAUGUUGUGUUAAUCUUUCAGUUUUAUCGAGAUAUGAUUGACAUAUGGCAUUGUGUAAGCUUAAUGUGUACAGCAUAGUGCUUUAACUUAAGACUUCAUUAAAUAACUACCACAAUA
RNAcentral lists this long non-coding RNA (3359 nucleotides) under Sus scrofa (pig). RNAcentral's name for it is "lncRNA (ENSSSCG00040056686.1)". Lineage: Eukaryota; Metazoa; Chordata; Mammalia; Artiodactyla; Suidae. The record is from RNAcentral.